GAUGAACGCUGGCGGCGUGCCUAACACAUGCAAGUCGAGCGAACAGACGAUGAUUUUGCUCCUCUGACGUUAGCGGCGGACGGGUGAGUCACACGUGGAUAACCCACCUAUAAGACUGGGAUAACUUCGGGAAACCGGAGCUAAUACCGGAUAAUAUAUUGAACCGCAUGGUUCAAUAGAGAAAGUCGGUGUUUCUGUCACUUAUAGAUGGAUCUGCGCCGCGUGAGCUAGUUGGUAAGGUAACGGCUUACCAAGGGAACGAUGCGUAGCCGACCUGGGAGAGUGAUCGGCCACACUGGAGGUGGGACACGGUCCAGGCUCCUACGAGAGGCAGCAGUAGCGAAUCUUCGGCAAUGGGCGAGAGCCUGACGGAGCAACGCGGCGUGAGUGAUGAAGGUCUUCGGAGCGUAAGACUCUGUUAUUAGGGAAGAACAAAUGUGUAAGUAGCUAUGCACGGCUUGACGGUACCUGAUCAAGAAGCCACGGCUAACUACGUG
RNAcentral lists this ribosomal RNA (497 nucleotides) under uncultured bacterium. RNAcentral's name for it is "partial 16S ribosomal RNA". It matches the Rfam family "Bacterial small subunit ribosomal RNA", at positions 28 to 507 of the family's 1533-position model. The record is from RNAcentral.